Molecule: microRNA precursor, 92 nt
Filed under: Poecilia formosa (Amazon molly)
Lineage: Eukaryota; Metazoa; Chordata; Actinopteri; Cyprinodontiformes; Poeciliidae
Description: miRNA (ENSPFOG00000021544.1)
Source: RNAcentral
CGGUCAGUCCCUGACCGUCCUGGUCGACCCGGAGGAAGAGGAUCGGUGGAUGGAGAACAUGGAGGACGAGGAGGCGGCCGACGACGGCUUUG